GACGAACGCUGGCGGCGUGCUUAACACAUGCAAGUCGAGCGGAAAGGCCACUUCGGUGGUACUCGAGCGGCGAACGGGUGAGUAACACGUGAGUAAUCUGCCCCUCACUUUGGGAUAGCCACCGGAAACGGUGAUUAAUACCGGAUAUGACCAUAUGUCGCAUGGCGUGUGGUGGAAAGUUUUUCGGUGAGGGAUGUGCUCGCGGCCUAUCAGCUUGAUGGUGAGGUAAUGGCUCACCAUGGCUUCGACGGGUAGCCGGCCUGAGAGGGUGACCGGUCGCACUGGGACUGAGACACGGCCCAGACUCCUACGGGAGGCAGCAGUGGGGAAUAUUGGACAAUGGGCGGAAGCCUGAUCCAGCAACGCCGCGUGAGGGAUGACGGCCUUCGGGUUGUAAACCUCUUUCAGUACCGACGAAGCGCAAGUGACGGUAGGUACAGAAGAAGCACCGGCCAACUACGUG
RNAcentral lists this ribosomal RNA (463 nucleotides) under uncultured bacterium. RNAcentral's name for it is "partial 16S ribosomal RNA". It matches the Rfam family "Bacterial small subunit ribosomal RNA", at positions 28 to 507 of the family's 1533-position model. The record is from RNAcentral.